GUGGGGAAUUUUGGACAAUGGGCGCAAGCCUGAUCCAGCAAUGCCGCGUGCAGGAAGAAGGCCUUCGGGUUGUAAACUGCUUUUGUACGGAACGAAACGGUCCUGGUUAAUACCUGGGGCUAAUGACGGUACCGUAAGAAUAAGCACCGGCUAACUACGUGCCAGCAGCCGCGGUAAUACGUAGGGUGCGAGCGUUAAUCGGAAUUACUGGGCGUAAAGCGUGCGCAGGCGGUGCUGUAAGACAGGCGUGAAAUCCCCGGGCUCAACCUGGGAAUUGCGCUUGUGACUGCAAAGCUGGAGUGCGGCAGAGGGGGAUGGAAUUCCGCGUGUAGCAGUGAAAUGCGUAGAUAUGCGGAGGAACACCGAUGGCGAAGGCAAUCCCCUGGGCCUGCACUGACGCUCAUGCACGAAAGCGUGGGGAGCAAACAGGAUUAGAAACCCCUGUAGUCC
Molecule: ribosomal RNA, 450 nt
Filed under: uncultured bacterium
Lineage: Bacteria
Description: partial 16S ribosomal RNA
Rfam family: Bacterial small subunit ribosomal RNA
Source: RNAcentral